UACGGGAGGCAGCAGUCGGGAAUAUUGCGCAAUGGAGGAAACUCUGACGCAGUGACGCCGCGUAUAGGAAGAAGGUUUUCGGAUUGUAAACUAUUGUCGUUAGGGAAGAAAAAGGACAGUACCUAAGGAGGAAGCACCGGCUAACUAUGUGCCAGCAGCCGCGGUAAU
Molecule: ribosomal RNA, 168 nt
Filed under: uncultured rumen bacterium
Lineage: Bacteria
Description: partial 16S ribosomal RNA
Rfam family: Bacterial small subunit ribosomal RNA
Source: RNAcentral